GAUCUUCCACAAUGGACGAAAGUCUGAUGGAGCAACGCCGCGUGAGUGAAGAAGGGUUUCGGCUCGUAAAACUCUGUUGUUAAAGAAGAACAUAUCUGAGAGUAACUGUUCAGGUAUUGACGGUAUUUAACCAGAAAGCCACGGCUAACUACGUGCCAGCAGCCGCGGUAAUACGUAGGUGGCAAGCGUUGUCCGGAUUUAUUGGGCGUAAAGCGAGCGCAGGCGGUUUUUUAAGUCUGAUGUGAAAGCCUUCGGCUCAACCGAAGAAGUGCAUCGGAAACUGGGAAACUUGAGUGCAGAAGAGGACAGUGGAACUCCAUGUGUAGCGGUGAAAUGCGUAGAUAUAUGGAAGAACACCAGUGGCGAAGGCGGCUGUCUGGUCUGUAACUGACGCUGAGGCUCGAAAGUAUGGGUAGCAAACAGGAUUAGAUACCCUGGUAGUCCAUACCGUAAACGAUGAAUGCUAAGUGUUGGAGGGUUUCCGCCCUUCAGUGCUGCAGCUAACGCAUUAAGCAUUCCGCCUGGGGAGUACGGCCGCAAGGCUGAAACUCAAAGGAAUUGACGGGGGCCCGCACAAGCGGUGGAGCAUGUGGUUUAAUUCGAAGCUACGCGAAGAACCUUACCAGGUCUUGACAUACUAUGCAAAUCUAAGAGAUUAGACGUUCCCUU
This 669-nucleotide ribosomal RNA is filed under the name Lactiplantibacillus pentosus. RNAcentral describes it as "bacterial SSU rRNA". It matches the Rfam family "Bacterial small subunit ribosomal RNA", at positions 359 to 1020 of the family's 1533-position model. Lineage: Bacteria; Bacillati; Bacillota; Bacilli; Lactobacillales; Lactobacillaceae. The record is from RNAcentral.